This 365-nucleotide unclassified non-coding RNA is filed under the name Melitaea cinxia (Glanville fritillary). RNAcentral describes it as "misc RNA ENSMCXG00005007318.1". The record is from RNAcentral. Lineage: Eukaryota; Metazoa; Arthropoda; Insecta; Lepidoptera; Nymphalidae.
AUCUUAAAUUAUGGUAUUAAAAUAAUUGUGUUUGCUCGGAAACGAAAAAAAACCGACUUCAAUUACAUCGACGAGUAAUACAAUGUAGAUCGACGAAAAAAUAGUCAAGUCACCGCACCGUCACGCGUCACCAAAGAUUACUCAAAAAUUAGUUAUCAGAUCUGAAUAAAAUUUAUAUGUGACCACAUGACAAACAUCAGCUUUCGAUUAAAUUAAAAAUUAUUAAAAUCGGUACACCCAGUAAAAAGUUAUGCGGUAUAAUACAACGUAGGUCGACGAAAAAAGCGUCAAGUAAAAACGCAUUAUUAGAUAUAACUCGAAAAGUAGUUGUUAGAUCUCAAAUAAAUUUAAAUGGGACCAAUUGG